This 425-nucleotide ribosomal RNA is filed under the name uncultured bacterium. Its description in RNAcentral is "bacterial SSU rRNA". It matches the Rfam family "Bacterial small subunit ribosomal RNA", at positions 354 to 771 of the family's 1533-position model. The record is from RNAcentral.
GUGGGGAAUAUUGGACAAUGGGCGCAAGCCUGAUCCAGCAACGCCGCGUGGAGGACGAAGGUCUUCGGAUCGUAAACUCCUGUCAGGCGGGACGAAGGUAACGGGGUGAAUAAUCCUGUUGCUUGACGGUACCGUCAGAGGAAGCCCCGGCUAACUCCGUGCCAGCAGCCGCGGUAAUACGGAGGGGGCGAGCGUUAUUCGGAAUUAUUGGGCGUAAAGGGCGCGUAGGCGGCUUGGCAAGUCAAAGGUGAAAUCCCUCGGCUCAACUGAGGAACUGCCUUUGAAACUGCCUGGCUUGAGUCCGGGAGGGGGUAGCGGAAUUCCCAGUGUAGCGGUGAAAUGCGUAGAUAUUGGGAGGAACACCAGUGGCGAAGGCGGCUACCUGGACCGGAACUGACGCUGAUGCGCGAAAGCGUGGGUAGCAA